UACAGAGGGGGCAAGCGUUAUUCGGAAUUAUUGGGCGUAAAGGGCGCGUAGGCGGCUUUGCAAGUGGCGGGUGAAAUCCCUCGGCUUAACCGAGGAACUGCCUGUCAGACUGUGAGGCUUGAGACCGGGAGAGGUGAGUGGAAUUCCCAGUGUAGCGGUGAAAUGCGUAGAUAUUGGGAGGAACACCAGUGGCGAAGGCGGCAUCCUGGACCGGCAUUGACGCUGAGGCGCGAAAGCUAGGGGAGCAAACGGG
RNAcentral lists this ribosomal RNA (253 nucleotides) under uncultured bacterium. RNAcentral describes it as "partial 16S ribosomal RNA". It matches the Rfam family "Bacterial small subunit ribosomal RNA", at positions 524 to 776 of the family's 1533-position model. The record is from RNAcentral.